UGCUUUCUCCUGCGCUCUUCCCUGAGACCAGAAAAAUUGCCUGUUUUCAAUUCUCUGAUAAGUGAGUCUUCCCCCAUAAUGAACUAACAAAUAUCUUCAUUAGUGCUUCUCAUUUCCACUUGCAGUUUGCUCAAAAUUAAGCAAUGCAGUGCUUCUGCAGAUGUGCUUUCUAAGCAUCUAAAAUAGAGACAUAUAGGAAUCAAAUUUCCAUUUCCCUACAGAUUAUCUGAUUACAUAGGAUCAAACGCAGCCACUCUCAAUGAUCCAUGCUAAUGGGAGCAGGGGUGGCUUGGGAAAAUGAAAGCCAUUGAGCUCAGAAGCUCUCUUCCCCCAUUUAUUUCAGCCUUCCCACCCAGCCAGCAUUUGACAAGCACCACUAACAAGCAGUGAAAUUGACUGGCUGAUUCCAUCUCUCCAUCCUUUCAAACUCGUGCUAAUGAGCAGGCGAAUCACAAACAGGGAAAAGAGGGAAGAGGCAGGAUGCUCGGAUAAUCCCCCAACUGGAACACCCCUUCUGCAAUCAUUGCAAUCAUAUGGACAUGCACCAGCUGGAUUUAAAAUCGAUUAGAAAGAUUGACACCAAAAGGUAUUUAAAGGAAAAGUUGCCUGAUGUUCUUUCAAUUCCUCCACAUUAUGAAGACUGAUUCCAGUUUAAGGAGAAUUCUAGGCUGCUCCAGUGAGUCCUAGAGUUUCUGAAGAGCCCUCUUUGAGUCUUUCCUGGAUGGGUAACCAUGGUGAGGAGCGUGGUCUCGGUCGUCCAAGCCCCGACUCAACCAGAGCAAAUGUGGAUUCAUGGCUUUCCCAUGUGCUUCUGAGUAAAUUCUGAUUUGACAAAGAUAACCUGCUGCUGAGAAGAAUAAAGGAUCUGAAAAGUUACCGUACAGCGUGAGUCUCUGACUGAGCCCUCUCAGGAUGAUCAGCACUGGCUUCCUCUCUUGCUGCCUCUUUAUGUAAGACAUGCCAUCUCAGACGUGGGGACGGCACCCCUGGACCAAGUCCCCAUGCCUCCACGGAGUCAAAACACAGACCUUUCCUGCUGCACACUCACUUAGGAGCACCAAUAAUCCAGAAGCACUUCCAGAAAUAAAGGUGGAAAAUGAUUCUAGACAGUGCUUCAUAUUCUAUAGCUUGAAAUUUCUUAAAAGAGGCAAUAACACUUACCAAUUUGUAAAAUAUGGAAAAAAAUUCCAUUUCAUAAAAAUGAUAUUAGUGUAACACUGACAAUGGCGAU
This 1231-nucleotide long non-coding RNA is filed under the name Homo sapiens (human). Its description in RNAcentral is "HSALNT0132099". The record is from RNAcentral. Lineage: Eukaryota; Metazoa; Chordata; Mammalia; Primates; Hominidae.